This 452-nucleotide ribosomal RNA is filed under the name Ormyrus sp. LK-2005. RNAcentral's name for it is "eukaryotic LSU rRNA". Lineage: Eukaryota; Metazoa; Arthropoda; Insecta; Hymenoptera; Ormyridae. The record is from RNAcentral.
AAACCUGAGAAACCCAAAAGAUCGAAUGGGGAGAUUCAUCGUCAGCGGCGUUGGCUUCCGUGCGGUUCGCGAUGUCCGGGACCUCGGUCCCGUGCACGCAGUCGCUGCGGUAUGUCCGACCUCGUCGGCGUGCACUUCUCCCCUAGUAGGACGUCGCGACCCGUUGGGUGCCGGCCUACGGCCCGGUUGGUCGACUGUCGCGUCUCGUUCACGCGGGUACGCGGCAGACCACCGGUUGCCCGGCCGGCUGCCCGGCGGUAUAGAUCGCUAUAAAAUGGUAUCGAGCCGCAUUAAGUGCGUUCAGGCUCGUCGGCAGGCUCGUCUCUCUCGGAUUUACGGACCUAGUGCCGUUGCCGGGUGCUUGGCGUGGCCGUUAGUCGACGAUGUCCUCGGACUGGCUCUUACAUUCGAACGGAUAUACCGGUCAGCGACGCUACUGCUUUGGGUACUUU